This is a long non-coding RNA of Arachis stenosperma, 449 nucleotides long. RefSeq lists it as uncharacterized. Lineage: Eukaryota; Viridiplantae; Streptophyta; Magnoliopsida; Fabales; Fabaceae. The record is from RefSeq and is a predicted model, not a curated record. The transcript has 4 exons.
AGUCUUACAGUGCGAUGUGCAUUGUUUGGGGAUUAUGUUAAUCAAGUGAAUCAUUUUCUUGUCUCUGGCUAUGUGGAGCAGCCUGUUGUGGUGAUUCAGCUUGCAAAAGUCAAGUUCUUUAGGGGUCAAGUAGGUCUUCAAAAUGUGAUGUAUGCCACUCAAAUGUUAUUUAAUCCUGAUAUUCCUGAAGUUGUUGAGUUCAGGCAGAGUAUGAUUGAGCAAGGUGUCAAUGGUACCCAUCCGCUGUUUAUUGCAAAUGAGGGUAAAGUUCUCUCAUUGGAAGAUGAUUUCAUGCGUUUAACUAGAAAAUACACUAUUGAAGAGCUUCAAGAUAACAGUCAGGAGGGUUCUUUUAUCAUCUUUGGUGCAAUUCAAGGUAUUGUUGAGGAUGGAGGUUGGUGGUAUUCUACUUGUGUGUGUGGAAAGGGUAUCUAUCCUCAAAAUGGUGC